GUCCAUUUCACGUUCAAACAAUGGCUCUCGUACGAUCAACGAAGUUAAGCAACGUCGAGCCUGGUCAUUACUUAGAUGGGUGACCGCUUUGGAAUACCAGGUGAUGUAAGC
Non-coding RNA from Acanthosepion pharaonis, 111 nucleotides. The record is from the annotation of a GenBank genome assembly. NCBI's taxonomy places the organism in Eukaryota, Metazoa, Mollusca, Cephalopoda, Sepiida, Sepiidae.